GUAAUACGUAGGGUGCGAGCGUUGUCCGGAAUUAUUGGGCGUAAAGAGCUCGUAGGCGGCCUGUCGCGUCGGAUGUGAAAGCCCGGGGCUUAACCCCGGGUCUGCAUUCGAUACGGGCAGGCUAGAGUGUGGUAGGGGAGAUCGGAAUUCCUGGUGUAGCGGUGAAAUGCGCAGAUAUCAGGAGGAACACCGGUGGCGAAGGCGGAUCUCUGGGCCAUUACUGACGCUGAGGAGCGAAAGCGUGGGGAGCGAACAGGAUUAGAUACCCUGGUAGUCCACGCCGUAAACGUUGGGAACUAGGUGUUGGCGACAUUCCACGUCGUCGGUGCCGCAGUUAACGCAUUAAGUUCCCCGCCUGGGGAGUACGGCCGCAAGGCUAAAACUCAAAGGAAUUGACGGGGGCCCGCACAAGCAGCGGAGCAUGUGGCUUAAUUCGACGCAACGCGAAGAACCUUACCAAGGCUUGACAUAUACCGGAAACGGCCAGAGAUGGUCGCCCCCUUGUGGUCGGUAUACAGGUGGUGCAUGGUUGUCGUCAGCUCGUGUCGUGAGAUGUUGGGUUAAGUCCCGCAACGAGCGCAACCCUUGUUCUGUGUUGCCAGCAUGCCUUUCGGGGUGAUGGGGACUCACAGGAGACUGCCGGGGUCAACUCGGAGGAAGGUGGGGACGACGUCAAAUCAUCAUGCCCCUUAUGUCUUGGGCUGCACACGUGCUACAAUGGUCGGUACAAAGGGCUGCGAUGCCGCGAGGCGGAGCGAAUCCCAAAAAGCCGGCCUCAGUUCGGAUUGGGGUCUGCAACUCGACCCCAUGAAGUUGGAGUUGCAGAAAUCGCAGAUCAGAUUCGUUAA
Molecule: ribosomal RNA, 848 nt
Filed under: Streptomycetaceae bacterium PR18-2-7r
Lineage: Bacteria; Bacillati; Actinomycetota; Actinomycetes; Kitasatosporales; Streptomycetaceae
Description: bacterial SSU rRNA
Rfam family: Bacterial small subunit ribosomal RNA
Source: RNAcentral